This 387-nucleotide ribosomal RNA is filed under the name Aneomochtherus perplexus. RNAcentral's name for it is "partial large subunit ribosomal RNA". The record is from RNAcentral. Lineage: Eukaryota; Metazoa; Arthropoda; Insecta; Diptera; Asilidae.
ACUGUGCAAAGGUAGCAUAAUCAUUAGUUUUUUAAUUGGAAGCUUGAAUGAAUGGUUGGACGAGACAUUAGCUGUUUCAUAUUAAACAUUAGAAUUUUAUUUUUUGGUAAGAAAGCCUAAAUUUUUUUGAAAGACGAGAAGACCCUAUAGAUCUUUAUAAUUUUAUUAUUUUAUUUACUAAGAUUUAUUUGGUUAAUAUAAUUAAAUUUAUUUUAUUGGGGUGAUAUAGAAAUUUAUUUAACUUUCUUUAUUUUAUAUACAUUUAUUUAUGAUAUAAUAUGAUCCUUUAUUUAAGAUUAAAAAAUUAAGUUACCUUAGGGAUAACAGCGUAAUUUUUUCGGAGAGUUCAUAUCGAUGCCNNAGGUUGCGACCUCGAUGUUGGAUUAA